CCGGCCCGGGCCGCGUGGACUGGAGGAGGGACGCCGGUGCGGGGCGGCCGGGCGCCCCCUGGCGGUGCACCGCGGCAUUGCCCCGGGCUUCCCACCCCACCCUCCUCACCACCGUGGGGUCUGCGUGGAUGGGCUUCCCGGAGGGAGGAGGUCAGAGGCCCGAGAUCCAUUCGGGCUCGGGACGCUUUCCUUAGCUUCCGAACCGGAGUGAGCAUUGUGAGUCUCUAAUGUGUGCCAGGUGCUGCGUGAGGCAGUCCAGUGGCUGUGACAACAUGGAAGCACACAGCACAGGGACGGGCACACAGGCUGGGACCCACUAGAGGACAGGGUCAAAAUGUGGCUUACCUCUGAGUGUCCAGAGCCAGCAGGGAGCCUGGCACAAGAGGAGAAGAUGGAGGCAGACGAUUGUCACUUGUCUUGCAGAGGUCACUGCUGGUUGGUGGCACUACCUGGAUGCUGUCCCAUCAUGGCGGUGGGACAGCAGCACAGGCUCUCUUAAGCACUCAUUGACUGCCUACGCAUGCUAAGACUCUGUAAAUUGUGGCACCCAUCAGUCACUCCUGGUAGAAUCCGGGCCUCCAGCACUUCUGGCUCAAGAUGCGCCAUGGGACCCACACCUCUGCCUCCUGUCUCCUAUCCUGACACACCACCGAAACCAAAGGAGAAAAGUUAAGUUAAACAAAGAAU
Molecule: long non-coding RNA, 687 nt
Filed under: Equus caballus (horse)
Lineage: Eukaryota; Metazoa; Chordata; Mammalia; Perissodactyla; Equidae
Description: lncRNA (ENSECAG00000050625.1)
Source: RNAcentral